This 784-nucleotide long non-coding RNA is filed under the name Homo sapiens (human). RNAcentral describes it as "HSALNT0300274". The record is from RNAcentral. Lineage: Eukaryota; Metazoa; Chordata; Mammalia; Primates; Hominidae.
AGAAGAGGAACCUGCUGCAGGCGCCGGCGCGGGCGGCGAGGACGACCUGUUUUUCUGACCCAGCCCGGAAGCGCUGGUGCAGGCCUUGAGCUUCCUUUUUUCUUCUCGCUGUGGAAAUUGCCUGGAAAGCUAUGAACUGUUGGUUCUUGAAUCAGUUGGCUGCCCCGGAUGUCUGAAUCCCUUGGAAGGAACCUGGAGGAGUUGGCUGAUGGGCUCCAGGUGCUACCGGAUCACCCUAACAACCCUCUGGGACCUGUGGCCAUGUGUUCACAACAGCAGCCAUUACAGGUGUUUCCUGAACUCUUGUCGCGAGCCUCUGUCGGCUCCAUCUCAUCGAUCCUCCCAGCAACCCACAAGGAAGCUUCACAGAGAGGCAGAUGCCACACAGGCCACCCACCCAGAUGCAGAGCCAGAUUCCCUGCGUGGACUGGACGGGAGUUUCCCAGCUGGAGUUCUCUCGGCCAAGCUGCCUGUGACAUGGGGUUGGAGGUGCUCCAGAGAGUCAUGGCCACCCCUGGAGGAAGUGACUUGUGGCUGACUGCUCAAGGGGAAGUCCUGUGGCAGUGGAGUCGUCAGCAUUAAUUCAAAUAAGGUGAGCAACAAGGAAUACCGAGAGGAGGUUUCCACACCAUGAACAAACAUGGCACCAGGAUCUGGAAGCUCCGGGCUUCUCCGUCUUCUAGAAUUCUGGGAGCCUCACAUGGCCCCCUCCUUGGCGAGUGUAUUAGGCUGUACUUGUAUUUCUGAAAUACAAAUAAAUACCUGAGACUGGGCAAUUUAUAAA